RNAcentral lists this unclassified non-coding RNA (648 nucleotides) under Hevea brasiliensis (rubber tree). Lineage: Eukaryota; Viridiplantae; Streptophyta; Magnoliopsida; Malpighiales; Euphorbiaceae. The record is from RNAcentral.
UUUCUCUUUAGGUGCACUUUUUGCUGAAUUUGUUUUGUUUUCGCUUUCUUCUACCUUAUAGUCAUUUGGUCGUAGGUCGGGACCAAUGUCCCUCACCCAGCUUGCAGCAUAUAACCUAGAAGCCUCCUUCAACACCAAGAAUCGUUCAUGCCAUGUAAGCUUCCGACGCUUCUUUACAUGCGGAGGAUCUGGCAAGGACGAAGGAAAUGCAAUUUCCUUCAAAUCAUACCGAAUAUAAUCAUAAACCUUCCUCAAAACGAUCCUCGCCUUCAUUCCUGCAAGAGAUUUGCUCCUAACAGUAACGGCGACGGGAGUCGGGAGUCUGAUUCUGAACGGCGACGGCAACGGGAGUCGGGAAUCUGGAAGUCGAUCGACGGCGCGGAUCUGAAAACGGCGGAACAGUCGAUUCUGGAAGUCGAAGUGUCGAACAGUCGAAAUUAAACGGCGGAACGGCGUGGAAAUGGAAACGGCGGCUCAAAUCCAGAUCUGUAAGUCGAACACGAAGUCGAAGUCGAACUGCAGCGUGCCGGCGACUCCGCGAGGCGCGAGGUUGCUGUGGACUGUGGUGUUGCUAUCGUGUCGUCUGCUGCGUGCUGCUUGCCGUCGGAGGCUCGUCGUGGUCGGAAGUCGAACGACUGGUUGGUGUUG